Molecule: ribosomal RNA, 492 nt
Filed under: uncultured bacterium
Lineage: Bacteria
Description: partial 16S ribosomal RNA
Rfam family: Bacterial small subunit ribosomal RNA
Source: RNAcentral
AGUGAACGCUGGCGGUAGGCCUAACACAUGCAAGUCGAACGGCAGCACAGUAAGAGCUUGCUCUUACGGGUGGCGAGUGGCGGACGGGUGAGGAAUACAUCGGAAUCUACUUUUUCGUGGGGGAUAACGUAGGGAAACUUACGCUAAUACCGCAUACGACCUACGGGUGAAAGCAGGGGAUCUUCGGACCUUGCGCGAUUGAAUGAGCCGAUGUCGGAUUAGCUAGUUGGCGGGGUAAAGGCCCACCAAGGCGACGAUCCGUAGCUGGUCUGAGAGGAUGAUCAGCCACACUGGAACUGAGACACGGUCAAGACUCCUAAGGGAGGCAGCAGUGGGGAAUAUUGGACAAUGGGCGCAAGCCUGAUCCAGCCAUACCGCGUGGGUGAAGAAGGCCUUCGGGUUGUAAAGACCUUUUGUUGGGAAAGAAAAGCAGCAGGUUAAUACCCAGCUGUUCUGACGGUACCCAAAGAAUAAGCACCGGCUAACUUCGUG